RNAcentral lists this ribosomal RNA (325 nucleotides) under uncultured eukaryote. Its description in RNAcentral is "partial 18S ribosomal RNA". It matches the Rfam family "Eukaryotic small subunit ribosomal RNA", at positions 1470 to 1796 of the family's 1831-position model. The record is from RNAcentral.
CCCUUAGAUGUUCUGGGCCGCACGCGCGCUACACUGAUGCAUUCAACGAGCCUAUCCUUGACCGACAGGUCCGGGUAAUCUUUGAAUCUGCAUCGUGACGGGGAUAGAUUAUUGCAAUUAUUAAUCUUCAACGAGUAAUGCCUAGUAGGCGCAAGUCAUCAGCUUGCGUCGAUUACGUCCCUGCCCUUUGUACACACCGCCCGUCGCUCCUACCGAUUGGGUGUGCUGGUGAAAUGUUCGGAUCGGCCGUUUGUCGCGGUUUCCGCGGCUCGUGGCUGAGAAGUUCAUUAAACCCUCCCACCUAGAGGAAGGAGAAGUCGUAACA